GAUGAACGCUGGCGGCGUGCCUAAUACAUGCAAGUCGAGCGAACGGACGAGAAGCUUGCUUCUCUGAUGUUAGCGGCGGACGGGUGAGUAACACGUGGAUAACCUACCUAUAAGACUGGGAUAACUUCGGGAAACCGGAGCUAAUACCGGAUAAUAUUUUGAACCGCAUGGUUCAAAAGUGAAAGACGGUCCUGCUGUCACUUAUAGAUGGAUCCGCGCUGCAUUAGCUAGUUGGUAAGGUAACGGCUUACCAAGGCAACGAUGCAUAGCCGACCUGAGAGGGUGAUCGGCCACACUGGAACUGAGACACGGUCCAGACUCCUACGGGAGGCAGCAGUAGGGAAUCUUCCGCAAUGGGCGAAAGCCUGACGGAGCAACGCCGCGUGAGUGAUGAAGGUCUUCGGAUCGUAAAACUCUGUUAUUAGGGAAGAACAUAUGUGUAAGUAACUGUGCACAUCUGGACUGUACCGAAUCAGAAAGCCACGGCUAACUACGU
RNAcentral lists this ribosomal RNA (496 nucleotides) under uncultured bacterium. Its description in RNAcentral is "partial 16S ribosomal RNA". It matches the Rfam family "Bacterial small subunit ribosomal RNA", at positions 28 to 506 of the family's 1533-position model. The record is from RNAcentral.